RNAcentral lists this ribosomal RNA (253 nucleotides) under uncultured bacterium. RNAcentral's name for it is "partial 16S ribosomal RNA". It matches the Rfam family "Bacterial small subunit ribosomal RNA", at positions 524 to 776 of the family's 1533-position model. The record is from RNAcentral.
UACGUAGGGUGCGAGCGUUAAUCGGAAUUACUGGGCGUAAAGCGUGCGCAGGCGGUUUUGUAAGCCAGGUGUGAAAUCCCCGGGCUUAACCUGGGAACUGCAUUUGUGACUGCAUCGCUGGAGUGCGGCAGAGGGGGAUGGAAUUCCGCGUGUAGCAGUGAAAUGCGUAGAUAUGCGGAGGAACACCGAUGGCGAAGGCAAUCCCCUGGGCCUGCACUGACGCUCAUGCACGAAAGCGUGGGGAGCAAACAGG